ACAUCGGAAUCUACUUUUUCGUGGGGGAUAACGUAGGGAAACUUACGCUAAUACCGCAUACGACCUACGGGUGAAAGCAGGGGAUCUUCGGACCUUGCGCGAUUGAAUGAGCCGAUGUCGGAUUAGCUAGUUGGCGGGGUAAAGGCCCACCAAGGCGACGAUCCGUAGCUGGUCUGAGAGGAUGAUCAGCCACACUGGAACUGAGACACGGUCCAGACUCCUACGGGAGGCAGCAGUGGGGAAUAUUGGACAAUGGGCGCAAGCCUGAUCCAGCCAUACCGCGUGGGUGAAGAAGGCCUUCGGGUUGUAAAGCCCUUUUGUUGGGAAAGAAAUCCAGCUGGUUAAUACCCGGUUGGGAUGACGGUACCCAAAGAAUAAGCACCGGCUAACUUCGUGCCAGCAGCCGCGGUAAUACGAAGGGUGCAAGCGUUACUCGGAAUUACUGGGCGUAAAGCGUGCGUAGGUGGUCGUUUAAGUCUGUUGUGAAAGCCCUGGGCUCAACCUGGGAACUGCACUGGAAACUGGACAACUAGAGUGUGGUAGAGGGUAGCGGAAUUCCCGGUGUAACACUGAGAUGCGUACAGAUCA
Molecule: ribosomal RNA, 588 nt
Filed under: Stenotrophomonas sp.
Lineage: Bacteria; Pseudomonadati; Pseudomonadota; Gammaproteobacteria; Lysobacterales; Lysobacteraceae
Description: bacterial SSU rRNA
Rfam family: Bacterial small subunit ribosomal RNA
Source: RNAcentral